AAUAAUAAUAAUACAAUAAAAUCCGCGAUCCCGUGGCCGGCGUUAAACGCGUUAAUCAGUACCGCGCGAGUACAACAUCCGCAUCCGACGUAACGUAACGAUAAUAUUAUCGCUGUCAACGUCGGACCGUAUAACAGCGUUCAACGUGGGGAUGUUUUGUUCUUUCGGUGGACUGUUGCGGGUGGGGGGUGUCGGUAGAGGAGGGCGAGACGUCGUAUAAAAAAUACGCGUACGAGCACUGUAAUGACGUACUGGCCGAUUGAUUUUCACUUAACAUGUGUAUACAUACGUAUACAUAUACAGCGAUCCGCCGAAUAUCCGGUGUAUGUGCCGGCUUAUGUGCGCCGCGAUACGAUUAAACGUCGGAUGAAAUCGAUUUCGGUAAAUUUCGCUCGGAAUGUAAUACAACAGUGACAAUCGCGUGUACGCCAAAAUAGUAACGGUCUUAUUAUCACGUGG
This is a non-coding RNA of Cinara cedri, 459 nucleotides long. Lineage: Eukaryota; Metazoa; Arthropoda; Insecta; Hemiptera; Aphididae. The record is from the annotation of a GenBank genome assembly.